GCGCGCGACAUAUAUAAUCAACCUUCUUAGGCCGCUCCCUUCCUUUUAGUAGUGGCCGUCAAGCACGUUGGAAGGACUGGACUCCCUUUAGGCCAACAUGCCAGUUGCCAGGAGCUGGGUAUGUCGGAAGACAUAUGUCACCCCAAGGCGGCCCUUUGAGAAGUCCCGGCUUGACCAGGAACUGAAGCUGAUUGGUGAGUAUGGGCUGCGUAACAAGCGUGAAGUGUGGCGGGUGAAGUUCACCUUGGCCAAGAUCCGCAAAGCUGCCCGAGAGCUGCUCACCCUGGAUGAGAAGGAUCAGAGGCGUCUCUUUGAGGGUAAUGCCUUGCUGCGUCGGCUGGUCAGAAUUGGGGUGCUGGAUGAGGGCAAGAUGAAGCUGGAUUACAUCCUGGGUCUGAAGAUUGAAGAUUUUCUGGAAAGGCGUCUCCAAACCCAGGUCUUCAAGCUGGGCCUGGCCAAGUCCAUCCACCAUGCCCGGGUGCUCAUCCGUCAAAGACACAUCCGGGAGAUGUGUGGACAUGUCCCAGCCGUGUGUCUUUUUGCCCCACCAAUCCCUUCCCUGGACUGGAACCCUGGAUAACCUAAAAGCCCUGCAGUCUGCCUAAUGAGGCUGUAUGCCAAAAGCACCAACAAUUUCGGCAAGGUUCACUGCGGCUCAGCCGUACACCUUGCGAAGGUCUUGGCGUGUGGGCAGUAGAGUGUAAGGAAGCAAGUAGUGAACAUCCCUUCCUUCAUCGUCCGCCUGGACUCCCAAAAGCAUAUUGACUUCUCCCUCCGCUCACCAUAUGGUGGUGGCCGUCCAGGUCGUGUCAAGAGGAAGAAUGCCAA
Molecule: RNA transcript, 828 nt
Organism: Lacerta agilis (Sand lizard)
Lineage: Eukaryota; Metazoa; Chordata; Lepidosauria; Squamata; Lacertidae
Gene: RPS9
Gene name: ribosomal protein S9
Exons: 6
Source: RefSeq, a predicted model, not a curated record